AAUGGCUCCUGGAAGCUGCAGAAUUAGAUCUUUCUCAAAUAAUAUAAUCUCACAGAAAGAGAGAAAACCAUCUCUUCAUUGGCCCUGUCUACUCUUGAAAAGGACUCAAGCUGGCCUCGAUGAGCAAUAUAAGCUCUGUGAAAUUCUUCAAUGAAUCCCCAGUGCCUUGAAGAGGAUGUGGCAGCUGGUUGCAGAGGCACUGGAUAUCAUCUCAGGUUCACUCCCCAUGCUGUCUGUUCUCUCCUUCCCUUCUGUCAUCCACCCUGAAGGUCCUGUUUCUCACCAGCUUGGAUAUAAGGAAGCAAUG
Capra hircus (goat) is the source of this 307-nucleotide long non-coding RNA. RefSeq lists it as uncharacterized. The transcript is spliced from 3 exons. The record is from RefSeq and is a predicted model, not a curated record. NCBI's taxonomy places the organism in Eukaryota, Metazoa, Chordata, Mammalia, Artiodactyla, Bovidae.